GGCAGUGUAGUAUAGCGGUCAGUACAUGACGUGCGAGGAACAGGGCGUGCUAGCAAUACACCGGCUUUGGCCAGGCCUGUGGCAGGCGCGUCAUCGAACUCGUAACCUCAAGGUCCUGGUUCGAAUCCAGGCAUUGUCA
This is a non-coding RNA of Cercophora scortea, 139 nucleotides long. NCBI's taxonomy places the organism in Eukaryota, Fungi, Ascomycota, Sordariomycetes, Sordariales, Lasiosphaeriaceae. The record is from the annotation of a GenBank genome assembly.